UAGGGAAUAUUGGACAAUGGGGGCAACCCUGAUCCAGCCAUGCCGCGUGAGUGAAGAAGGCCCUCGGGUUGUAAAGCUCUUUUGUCCGGAAAGAAAAGCUUCGGGUUAAUACCCCGGGGUUCUGACGGUACCGGAAGAAUAAGCACCGGCUAACUUCGUGCCAGCAGCCGCGGUAAUACGAAGGGUGCAAGCGUUACUCGGAAUUACUGGGCGUAAAGCGUGCGUAGGUGGUUGUUUAAGUCUGAUGUGAAAGCCCUGGGCUCAACCUGGGAAUGGCAUUUGAAACUGGGCAGCUAGAGUGCGGUAGAGGGUAGUGGAAUUCCCGGUGUAGCAGUGAAAUGCGUAGAGAUCGGGAGGAACAUCUGUGGCGAAGGCGACUGCCUGGACCAGCACUGACACUGAGGCACGAAAGCGUGGGGAGCAAACA
This 427-nucleotide ribosomal RNA is filed under the name uncultured bacterium. RNAcentral describes it as "bacterial SSU rRNA". It matches the Rfam family "Bacterial small subunit ribosomal RNA", at positions 355 to 774 of the family's 1533-position model. The record is from RNAcentral.